GACGAACGCUGGCGGCGUGCUUAACACAUGCAAGUCGAACGGAAAGGCCCUGCUUUUGUGGGGUGCUCGAGUGGCGAACGGGUGAGUAACACGUGAGUAACCUGCCCUUGACUUUGGGAUAACUUCAGGAAACUGGGGCUAAUACCGGAUAGGAGCUCCUGCUGCAUGGUGGGGGUUGGAAAGUUUCGGCGGUUGGGGCUGGACUCGCGGCUUAUCAGCUUGUUUGUGGGGUAGUUGCUUACCAAGGCUUUUACGGGUCGCCGGCCUGGGAGGGUGACCGGCCGCAAUGGGACCGAGAUACGGCCCAGACCCCUACGGGAGGCAGGAGUGGUGAAUAUAGCACAAUGGGCGGAAGCCUGAUGCAGAAACGCCGCGUGCGGGAUGACGGCCUCCGGGUGGUAACCCGCUUUCGCCUGUGACGAAGCGUGAGUGACGGUAAUGGGUAAAGAAGCACCGGCUAACUACGUG
Molecule: ribosomal RNA, 468 nt
Filed under: uncultured bacterium
Lineage: Bacteria
Description: partial 16S ribosomal RNA
Rfam family: Bacterial small subunit ribosomal RNA
Source: RNAcentral